RNAcentral lists this ribosomal RNA (427 nucleotides) under Loricera pilicornis. RNAcentral describes it as "partial 16S ribosomal RNA". Lineage: Eukaryota; Metazoa; Arthropoda; Insecta; Coleoptera; Carabidae. The record is from RNAcentral.
CCUGACCACUGAGUUUUAAAUGGCCGCAGUAUUAUGACUGUGCAAAGGUAGCAUAAUCAUUAGUUUUUUAAUUAAAAGCUUGUAUGAAAGGUUGGACGAGAUAAAUUCUGUCUCUAUUUAAUUUAAAUUAGAAUUUAAUUUUUAAGUUAAAAAGCUUAAAUAAAUUUAAAAGACGAGAAGACCCUAUAGAUCUUUAUAGUUUAUUAAUUAAUUUUAAUUAAGAUUUUUUUAAACAUUAGUUUUAUAGAUUAUUUUAUUGGGGUAAUAAAAAGAUUUAAAUAAUUCUUUUUUUUUAUUUACAUUAAUUUAUGAAUUUUGGAUCCAGUUUUAUUGAUUAUAAGAUUAAGUUACCUUAGGGAUAACAGCGUAAUUUUUUUAGAGAGUUCAUAUCGAUAAAAAAGUUUGCGACCUCGAUGUUGGAUUAAAA